UACGAAGGGGGCUAGCGUUGCUCGGAAUCACUGGGCGUAAAGGGUGCGUAGGCGGGUCUUUAAGUCAGGUGUGAAAUCCUGGAGCUCAACUCCAGAACUGCCUUUGAUACUGAGGAUCUUGAGUUCGGGAGAGGUGAGUGGAACUGCGAGUGUAGAGGUGAAAUUCGUAGAUAUUCGGAAGAACACCAGUGGCGAAGGCGGCUCACUGGUCAGGUACUGACGCUGAGGUGCGAAAGCGUGGGGAGCAAACAGG
This 253-nucleotide ribosomal RNA is filed under the name uncultured bacterium. Its description in RNAcentral is "partial 16S ribosomal RNA". It matches the Rfam family "Bacterial small subunit ribosomal RNA", at positions 524 to 776 of the family's 1533-position model. The record is from RNAcentral.